AGGAUGAACGCUGGCGGCGUGCCUAAUACAUGCAAGUCGAACGAGCUCUUCGGAGCUAGUGGCGGACGGGUGAGUAACACGUUGGUACCUACCCCGAAGUGGGGAAUAACUGCCCGAAAGGGUGGCUAAUACCGCAUAAUACCGCAAGGUUAAAGCGAGUAAUCGCGCUUCGGGAGGGGCCUGCGUCCCAUUAGCUAGUUGGUAGGGUAAUAGCCUACCAAGGCGACGAUGGGUAGCUGGAUCGAGAGGUUGACCAGCCACACUGGGACUGAGAUACGGCCCAGACUCCUACGGGAGGCAGCAGUAAGGAAUCUUCCACAAUGGACGAAAGUCUGAUGGAGCAACGCCGCGUGCAGGAUGACGGUCUUCGGAUUGUAAACUGCUUUUAUAUGGGAAGAUUAUGACGGUACCAUAUGAAUAAGGACCGGCUAACUACGCGCCAGCAGCCGC
RNAcentral lists this ribosomal RNA (450 nucleotides) under uncultured bacterium. Its description in RNAcentral is "SSU rRNA". It matches the Rfam family "Bacterial small subunit ribosomal RNA", at positions 26 to 518 of the family's 1533-position model. The record is from RNAcentral.